AUGCAUCAAAAUGACCCCAAAAUCAGCCCCAAGAACAGCCCCCAAAAGACCCCAAAACAGCAUCAAAAGGACCCCAAAAUCAGCUCCCCAAAGACCUCAAAACCAGCCCUAAAAAGCAUCAAACUGACCCCAAAAAGACCCCAAAAACAGCAUCAAAACCAGCCCAACAACAGCAUCAAAAUGGCCCCAAAAAAACCCCAAAAAGCAUCAAAUCGACCCCAAAACAGCAUCAAAACCAGCCCCAAAAAGCAUCAAAUUGACCCCAAAACCAGCAUCAAAACGACCCCAAAUCCACCCAAAAACACCCCAAAACCAGCCCUAAAAAGCAUCAAACUGACCCCAAAAUCGGCCUCAAAAUGGCCCCAAAACCAGCCCAAAAUGCAUCAAAACGACCCCAAAAUCAACCCCCAAACAUGCAUUAAAGUGACCCCAACAACUAGCCCUACAAUGAACCCCCAAACAGCCUAA
This 468-nucleotide long non-coding RNA is filed under the name Coturnix japonica (Japanese quail). Its description in RNAcentral is "lncRNA (ENSCJPG00005000469.1)". Lineage: Eukaryota; Metazoa; Chordata; Aves; Galliformes; Phasianidae. The record is from RNAcentral.